AUGGCGGAGGAACCGUCCGCAAAGCGUCAUCAUGCCGAGACGUCGGACAAGAGGAGCAACCUCGUCGACAUUAACAUCCCCGGCGAGAAGCGCGACUACACCAGAACGCUCAAAGGGCUUGAGCUCCACGGCAAGGAGACGCUGGAGAUCAUCUGCACCAGCGAACCAGACAAGGCCGACGAGGUGAUCUCCAGGCUCUGGAGGAAGCUUGGCGGCAGGAUUCGUAGGAUCAUCGGCGUUGGUGUGCACUACACCAACGAAGAUGAACCUCCCCAGAUGGCGGCAGUCCUGCAGUUGUGCGUCGACGAACUCUGCUUGGUGUACCACAUCACAGCGGCCACAAAAUGGUGA
Molecule: ribosomal RNA, 351 nt
Filed under: Triticum aestivum (bread wheat)
Lineage: Eukaryota; Viridiplantae; Streptophyta; Magnoliopsida; Poales; Poaceae
Description: partial small subunit ribosomal RNA
Source: RNAcentral